RNAcentral lists this ribosomal RNA (433 nucleotides) under uncultured bacterium. Its description in RNAcentral is "partial 16S ribosomal RNA". It matches the Rfam family "Bacterial small subunit ribosomal RNA", at positions 29 to 507 of the family's 1533-position model. The record is from RNAcentral.
AACGAACGCUGGCGGCAUGCCUAACACAUGCAAGUCGAACGAGACCUUCGGGUCUAGUGGCGCCCGGGUGCGUAACGCGUGGGAACCUGCCUUUAGGUUCGGAAUGACUCAGAGAAAUUUGAGCUAAUACCGGAUGAUGUCUUCGGACCAAAGAUUUAUCGCCCUUAGAUGGGCCCGCGUUGGAUUAGCUAGUUGGUUGGGUAAAGGCAUACCAAGGCGACGAUCCAUAGCUGGGCUGAGAGGAUGGUCAGCCACACUGGGACUGAGACACGGCCCAGACUCCUACGGGAGGCAGCAGUGGGGAAUAGUGGAAAAUGGGCGAAAGCCUGAUCCAGCAAUGCCGCGUGAGUGAUGAAGGCCUGAGGGUUGUAAAGCGCUUUUACCCGAGAUGAUAAUGACAGUAUCGGGAGAAUAAGCUCCGGCUAACUCCGUG